GAUGAACGCUGGCGGCGUGCCUAACACAUGCAAGUCGAGCGGAAAGACCCGGAGUUUCUGCCUUACACGUUUGCGGCAGGCGGGAGUGUCACACGUGGAUCACCCACCUCUCUUACUGGGAAAACUUCGGGAAUCCGGAGCUUAUACUGGACAAUAGAACCAACCGGAUGUUGCAGUAGGGAUUUCGGGUUUUGAUGUUACUUAUAGAUGGAUCCGCGUCGGAUUGGUUAGUUGGUAGGGUAACGGCUUACCAAGGCAACGAUGCGUAGCCGACCUGAGAGGGUGAUCGGCCACACUGGAGCGGAGACACGGUCCAGACUCCUACGGGAGGCAGCAGUAGGGAAUGUUACGCAAUGGGCGGAAACCUGACGCAGCAAGGCCGCGUGAGUGAUGAAGGCCUUCGGUUCGUAAAGCUCUGUUAUGGGGGAAGAACAACUGUGUAAGUAGAUGAAGGCGUCUUGACGGUACCUGAAGAAGAAGCCACGGCUAACUACGUG
RNAcentral lists this ribosomal RNA (497 nucleotides) under uncultured bacterium. Its description in RNAcentral is "partial 16S ribosomal RNA". It matches the Rfam family "Bacterial small subunit ribosomal RNA", at positions 28 to 507 of the family's 1533-position model. The record is from RNAcentral.